RNAcentral lists this ribosomal RNA (590 nucleotides) under uncultured cyanobacterium. RNAcentral describes it as "bacterial SSU rRNA". It matches the Rfam family "Bacterial small subunit ribosomal RNA", at positions 317 to 916 of the family's 1533-position model. Lineage: Bacteria; Bacillati; Cyanobacteriota. The record is from RNAcentral.
AACCGUGAGUCCUGCAGUCGACGAUUCUACGGGAGGCAGCAGUGGGGAAUUUUCCGCAAUGGGCGAAAGCCUGACGGAGCAAUACCGCGUGAGGGAAGACUGCCUAUGGGUUGUAAACCUCUUUUUUCAGGGAGGAAUCAAUGACGUGUACCUGAAGAAUAAGCAUCGGCUAACUCCGUGCCAGCAGCCGCGGUAAGACGGAGGAUGCAAGUGUUAUCCGGAAUCACUGGGCGUAAAGCGUCUGUAGGUGGUUUAAUAAGUCAACUGUUAAAUCUUGAGGCUCAACUUCAAAAUCGCAGUCGAAACUAUUAGACUAGAGUAUAGUAGAGGUAAAGGGAAUUUCCAGUGGAGCGGUGAAAUGCGUAGAUAUUGGAAAGAACACCGAUGGCGAAAGCACUUUACUGGGCUAUUACUAACACUCAGAGACGAAAGCUAGGGUAGCAAAUGGGAUUAGAUACCCCAGUAGUCCUAGCCGUAAACAAUGGAUACUAGAUGUUGAACAGAUCGACCUGUGCAGUAUCAAAGCUAACGCGUUAAGUAUCCCGCCUGGGAAGUAUGCUCGCAAGAGUGAAACUCAAAGGAAUUGACGG